UUCCUACGGGAGGCAGCAGUGGGGAAUAUUGGACAAUGGGCGGAAGCCUGAUCCAGCAACGCCGCGUGAGGGAUGACGGCCUUCGGGUUGUAAACCUCUUUCAGCACAGACGAAGCGCAAGUGACGGUAUGUGCAGAAGAAGGACCGGCCAACUACGUGCCAGCAGCCGCGGUAAUACGUAGGGUCCGAGCGUUGUCCGGAAUUAUUGGGCGUAAAGGGCUCGUAGGCGGUCUGUCGCGUCGGGAGUGAAAACCAGGUGCUUAACACCUGGCCUGCUUUCGAUACGGGCAGACUAGAGGUACUCAGGGGAGAAUGGAAUUCCUGGUGUAGCGGUGAAAUGCGCAGAUAUCAGGAGGAAC
RNAcentral lists this ribosomal RNA (359 nucleotides) under uncultured Nocardioides sp. Its description in RNAcentral is "bacterial SSU rRNA". It matches the Rfam family "Bacterial small subunit ribosomal RNA", at positions 336 to 707 of the family's 1533-position model. The record is from RNAcentral. Lineage: Bacteria; Bacillati; Actinomycetota; Actinomycetes; Propionibacteriales; Nocardioidaceae.